Molecule: long non-coding RNA, 3337 nt
Filed under: Nicotiana tabacum (common tobacco)
Lineage: Eukaryota; Viridiplantae; Streptophyta; Magnoliopsida; Solanales; Solanaceae
Description: long non-coding RNA (NTAB_LNC017770)
Source: RNAcentral
CAACAGAGAACCAACAAAACACCCACCCCUUCACCAUUGAUAAAAACCAAACAGAGCCACCACCAGACCUAUCUUCCACCCACGACCUCUCUUUUUCUCACCUCCUUCCUCAUCUUGCUCUCACAAAUUAAUAGACCAAAUAAUCGAAUCACGCCGAAAGAGGUGAGUCUCACCAAAUAUGGAGACCUAUGAAGUUUCGUGGCUUCCGUCCUCUCAUCUCCUCUAUUGGUGACGAAUUUCAGAUCUGGUCGAAUGUUUGUUUAAAUCUGACGAUCCGUCUAGCCUCUGUAGGUUAUUGUUCCAGUGCUCUUUGUCGUAUAAGUCGCACUCAGUUAGAGCACACGCAGCAAGGAGGUUCUGUUCGAGUCAUUUGUUCGAGUUUCCGGCGCCGCUGAAGUUUUUCGGUCUAAGGCUCUUAUCGGCGUCUAUUUCUGUUGGUCUAAGUCGAGGUUUCUGUUGGCGUCGUUUUUCUGAUCCGGUCAGUUGGUUUCUUUCUCUGCGAUUUGGCUUUCACUUUUUUCUGGAUUCAGAAGCUGGGUUUAGCUUCAUUUUGUUGUUUGUUGUUGUUGUUUCAUCAACCUAUAAAUGUUUCUCUGUUGAACAUGCGCUGGUUAAUUUCGAUCAUCUUUUCAACCUUUAUUUGGCUCUUCUAAACUGUUCUGUUGUUGAUUGAGGUAUGGACCUCAGUUUUAGAUAAUGUAAUUGUUUAAAUGCCAUAGUGUUAUGAGAAUGGUUUGUUCAUUUUGUGUUUGUCAAAUGAUCUUGUUUUGAUUGGUUGAUAAUUGAAUGCUUGACUAUGUAUAACACCUAAAGCAUGCACAACUUCUAACGCCUUAGCUAUAAUCUGUGGCCUGUCAAUAAACCUCGAAUUAAUUUAGGAAGUAAGUAUGAGCCCUCAUAGUUCGUUUUAAUUUGAGUACAAAUCCUUUGAAGUGAAUUGAGGCGUGUCAUUCGCAAAAUAAAUCCCAUAAUCUAUGGCCUUCACAUUAAUAUCAAAACAAGUGUAGAAAGACUUGGAACAUUCAUAACUAGUGUAGAAAACACUUUGAACAUUUGUAGUUUGCUUUAGGCGUGUUUAUAAUAAAUUAUUAUGGGCACGAUUCUCAUGACAUAGUUACGUUACGUAAUUUCCAAAUCCGGGGUACAUUUAUGUGACCUGGCCAUAAUUUCUAAUUUUGUUAAUGAAUUAAACAUGUUGUAUAUCGUGGGUACGGUUCCCGUGACAUGAUUCGCGAUAUUUACCAAAUAAACAAGUGUAUGACAAUCGUGAUUUAUUGUAUAAAUGUUGAAGACGGUUAAAAGGAAUAAAAUGCACAAUAGGUAUAAAAUAUGUAAUUAAUCAGAUAAUUAGGCCAAUAAUAAUAGUUGAGAGACGGUGCUAAAACUACGGAACUCGAGAAUGCCUAAUACCUUCUCCCGGGUAAAGAGAAUUCCUUACCCGGAUUUCUCUGUUUCACGGACUAUAAAACAGAGUCAAACUUACUCGAUUCGAGAUUUUAAACUGGUGACUUGGGACACCAUAAAUUAUUCCAAGUGGCGACUCUAAAUUUGAAUAAAUAAUCUUGUUUCGAUUAUUGUCACUUUAAUUGAAAAAAAUUCCCCUAUACCGCUUCCGGUGGUAGAAAAAGGACGUGUGACAGCUCUGGCGACUCUGCUAGGGACAAGAACCCAGAAUCUCUAGUUCAGGGUUCAAGAAUUCGAGCUUAGAAUAAUUGUUAUUUUUGGAUUUUAUUUAUUAUCUGAUUUUUACUUGUUUGGGCCUAAUGUGCUAAAUGCCGCUUUUUACCGCUUUGAUAUUAUUUGAACUGUAUAUAAACUGUUGCAAAACCAUUCUCUUCUCAUCUUCGGGGAAGUGCACGCUGGCGUGACUUCUUUUCUGUUAGUGUCAUACCAUAAUUUAGAAAGUGGUUCGGACAAAUUACAAAGCCGGAUGGACUUUUGGUUCUCGGUACGUAGCCCUCACCCCCCCCCCCCCCCCGGCUCGAGUUGUCCGCUCGGGUACACCAAGUUUAGAAUAAGAUACCCAGGUUUUAAACCUAGAAUAACUCAGCCUCAUGUCGGAUCCCUAGUAGGAAUGCUUGUUUGCAUCAUAUGCAUUUGACUUUGGGGAGUCAACACAGGGGUUGGGUCCGUCUAGGUCAGGCGUACCCGAAAAUAAAAAGACCAUCCUGCAUCUUAUGUGCUAAAUGUUGUAGUCUUCAAGGGUAAAAUGGGUCAUUUAGCGGACCAAUGAUGGUUGAGGAUAAAUGAGAAAAAAAGAGGGUGAAGUGUAAAAAAAUAAAGCAAGUAGGGCUCAGUUAUGUUUUUCUUUCACAUUUUUUUUAAAAAAGAAAAAACAAAAAAAAAGGAAAAAUCCAAAAAGAUUUUUGCACUUUCCCGUCAUUUUCCAAAAAAAAAACAAAAAAAGGAAAAAUAAAAUCAAAAAAGAGUUUACAUGUUUCAUCAUUUUUCAAAACAAAAGACAAAAAAUAUAUUUUCUCUAAAUUAGUUGUUUUUUUUAUUCUCGCUAUUAUCCAAUCUGCCUGAAAAACACGAACCUGAUUCUCGUCUCUCGGGGUGGAAUACGUAGGCAACCCACAUAGGGUUCGGUCUUCCUAGUGCGUCUUAGGUUCUUGGUUUCGCGGGGUCUUAGCCAAACCUUGCAUCUCUAGCCACUUUUGGCCACAUCGGUCAUUUUGCAAAAUAGGGCUAUUUUUGCAAAGUGGUUUGUUUAAUUGUCUGGAGAGCUUUCAAUCCACAAUUAGGUGUCUCUUUGCAUGUCUAGCCGCUUUUGGCCAUAUCGGCCAUUUUGCAAAAUAGGGCUAUUUUCGCAAAAGUGGUUCAAUUAACCCAUGUCUUAGAGUCCUGGGUCCACAACAAGAUGUUCUCUCUGUUUAAGGUCCAUUGAAUUGAAUUUGCAUGCUUAGCCAUCCUUUUUUCCACAUAGGUCAUUUCUACAAAAUGGAUCAUUUCUGUAAAGUAAUUUUUCCGUGUCUUAGAGGUCACCUUUGUUGAGUUUGCAUUUCUAGCAACCUUUUGGCCACAUAAGUCGUUUUGCAAAAAUAGCUUCAAUCAUUUCUUGCAUAUGUCCAGUAAGGAGUGUUAUUGUCUCACAUAUGUUGGUUUCAGUUUUCUAAUACAGGUGUGGAUCUACUUAUCGGAGUUUGAGAAUGACAGACACCCCCGGACCAACCAGUCAAGAAUGCUCAUUCAAGAGUUGCUUAAGGAGAUCUUUUUUAUGUUUAGUUUGUUUUUUUAUGUCGUCUUUUACCUUCUAGUUUUGUACAUUAAUGUCGAGUCUUUUGUUAUUGUACUUUCUAUUUUGUAUUUGAAAAAGUGUGUUGUAACUCAAAAACCC